This 229-nucleotide unclassified non-coding RNA is filed under the name uncultured Boletus. RNAcentral describes it as "sequence contains ITS1". The record is from RNAcentral. Lineage: Eukaryota; Fungi; Basidiomycota; Agaricomycetes; Boletales; Boletaceae.
UCAAUUUUCGAGGAGGAAGAUGGAAAGCAGCGCACUGUCGCUGGCUUUCUCUGCAUGUGCACGUCUUUGCUUUUCAUCAACCUCUCUCACAUAUACACACCUGUGCACCCAUUGUAGGUCCUCGAAAGGGGAUCUAUGUUUCUUCAUAUCACACCCCUCGUAUGUUCAUAGAAUGUAUCAAAGACUGUCGACCAGGCUUGGUCCUGAUUGACAGGUCGAAUAAACUAUA